This is a long non-coding RNA of Scophthalmus maximus (turbot), 1195 nucleotides long. RefSeq lists it as uncharacterized. The record is from RefSeq and is a predicted model, not a curated record. NCBI's taxonomy places the organism in Eukaryota, Metazoa, Chordata, Actinopteri, Pleuronectiformes, Scophthalmidae. The transcript has 2 exons.
AGUUCACAUUGAGGCUACUAAAUAGUAUCAAUAAGAGGACGUUGUCAUGUGUUGACAGAUUAGGACAGGCUGCUGAGUCCAGAGGUAACAAGCUGCUGGUGAUGUCUUUCUGAAAUCUAGUGUUUAAACACAAGUUAAUCAAGGAAAGGUGAUAUAGCCUAUAUGAUUGGACUGAUUAUAAUGCCGAAUUAGAAAAAUAAUUCAUCAUUAGAGUCGUGCAUUCAAUGAAAAGACAUGCCAAAUAAAAAAUUGUCGUUAUUAAAUCAACUUUAAAUUUCCAAACUAGCACCGGGAGGUUUUUAUUUUGAAGGAGCGCCUGGCGAGUGUGUUCUCUUCCGGGGGAGCUCGCGACUGCCGCUGAACCAAAAAGAUGGUACUCGGCGCGUCCCCCGCGACGGAGUCGGAGGAAGACUUUAACAUGGUUAAAUCUAACGGAGUCGCGGUGUCUCUGCCGAAACACUCCUACUGGUUUGACUUUUGGCUCUUCGUGCUCUUCGACAUUGCGUUUUUCCUCGUCAUGUACUACAUCGUGCCGUAAAGAACGGAAAGGUUCGUCUCCUGGACUCUGGAGCCUGAAGAUACAGAGUGCUGGUCCCAACCUUUAUCCCGUUAUCUGACCUAACAUCUCCAGGUUCCAUGCCUUGGACCAAGAAACUGCAGGUUUUCUAUGUGGAGCAUCCUGCUUUGAUAUCAAAGAUUUGAAGCCACAGAACUCCUUCCCUCUUUUGCCAGCUGCUGUUCCUUCCUGGGUGGCAUAAUGUUGUUGCCGUGGGAAAGAGAUUUAUUUUAUUUUAUAUUUGUACGAUUGAAAAGUGGCAAUGCCCUCAUCAGGACUGGUAAAAUGUACCACUAAGAUCACUGAAAUAUGUUUUUGAUCACUUUAAAUAGAAUACAGACGAGGGAAGCUGUGCAAUGUUUUUCAUGAAGUUAACAGAAGUAAUGGUGACGUAAGAUAAUUGUAUCAUAUUUUAUAUCUUUUAGAUUUAUGUCUUCAAAACGUCUGAUCAACAACUAUGUAUUGGAAAUAAAAAGAGCAAUCUCAAGUCUGAAAAGUGUUUGUCACUAGAAGCCCUCAGAUGAUCCGGUGUCAGUUAAGGCCCCGGAGAAAAUCAAGAUUCAGUUUGACUUCUGUUGUUCCACUAAGAUUUUGACAUUUUGCACAUGGAAAAUCCUGCAAAUAAAGCGUUUGAACCCA